Molecule: long non-coding RNA, 218 nt
Organism: Papilio machaon (common yellow swallowtail)
Lineage: Eukaryota; Metazoa; Arthropoda; Insecta; Lepidoptera; Papilionidae
Exons: 7
Source: RefSeq, a predicted model, not a curated record
AGUUGUGUUCACAGAUUUGAAAACAAUAUGUCUAAGUUUACAGUAAUUUUGGCUCUCAUUGCGUUGAUCGCUCUUGUGUCAGCGCGUCCACAAGUGGACGUUGUUGACCAAGACCCAGGCUCAGUAAACGUCAUCGGUGGAGAUGAACAAGUAAACAUCGUCAACAGUGAAGACCAAGUAAAUGUGGUAGAUUCCAGUGUCAAUAAUCCCGACCCUCG